CCUACAGCAGCCCAUUUUGACAUUAGAAGAAACAGCAAAUCAACCUCAUUUGAGAGGGUUCUGCCUCUGGUCUGGUGAAGUAGCUCCGUUUGAGCCAACCCACAAGGACUCAGGCUUGUUGCUCUUCAUUUUGUGACCCUGCUCUUUUGCUGGGAAACCAAGCCAUUGAACUCCUCACUAAACCAACACAAACAGAUGAAGUUAGAAGGCUGGAAGCUCUCCCUCAGCUCCAGGACUUUCUUCUUGUUUUCUUUCGGCAUUUG
This 263-nucleotide long non-coding RNA is filed under the name Callithrix jacchus (white-tufted-ear marmoset). RNAcentral describes it as "lncRNA (ENSCJAG00000084367.1)". Lineage: Eukaryota; Metazoa; Chordata; Mammalia; Primates; Cebidae. The record is from RNAcentral.